This 463-nucleotide ribosomal RNA is filed under the name uncultured bacterium. Its description in RNAcentral is "partial 16S ribosomal RNA". It matches the Rfam family "Bacterial small subunit ribosomal RNA", at positions 28 to 507 of the family's 1533-position model. The record is from RNAcentral.
GACGAACGCUGGCGGCGUGCUUAACACAUGCAAGUCGAGCGGAAAGGCCACUUCGGUGGUCCUCGAGCGGCGAACGGGUGAGUAACACGUGAGUAAUCUGCCCCUCACUUUGGGAUAGCCACCGGAAACGGUGAUUAAUACCGGAUAUGACCAUAUGUCGCAUGGCGUGUGGUGGAAAGUUUUUCGGAGCGGGAUGGUCUCGCGGCCUAUCAGCUUGAUGGUGGGGUAAUGGCACAAGAUGGCCUCGAAGGGUAGCCGGCAUGAGAGGGGUGCCGGUCACAAGGGGACUAAGACAGGGACCAGUCGCCUACGGGAGGCAGCAGGGGCGAAUAUGGGCCAAUGGGCGGGAGCCGGAUCCGGAAGCGCCGCGUGUGGGAUGACGGCCUUCGGGUUGUAAACCUCUUUCAGUACCGACGAAGCGGAAGUGACGGUAGGUACAGAAGAAGCACCGGCCAACUACGUG